Molecule: transfer RNA, 67 nt
Filed under: Geotomus sp. FS-2019
Lineage: Eukaryota; Metazoa; Arthropoda; Insecta; Hemiptera; Cydnidae
Description: tRNA-His
Source: RNAcentral
GUUUAUUAUAGUUUAAUAUAGAAUGGUAAUUUGUGGUGUUACGGGUGCAUUAUUCUUGCUUUAAACC